RNAcentral lists this transfer RNA (84 nucleotides) under Gammaproteobacteria bacterium. RNAcentral describes it as "tRNA-Leu(taa)". It matches the Rfam family "tRNA". Rfam says of the family: Transfer RNA (tRNA) molecules are approximately 80 nucleotides in length. The record is from RNAcentral. Lineage: Bacteria; Pseudomonadati; Pseudomonadota; Gammaproteobacteria.
GCCCGGGUGGCGGAAUUGGUAGACGCAAGGGACUUAAAAUCCCUCGAGGGUAACCUCGUGCCGGUUCGACUCCGGCCCUGGGCA